Molecule: long non-coding RNA, 979 nt
Organism: Paramormyrops kingsleyae
Lineage: Eukaryota; Metazoa; Chordata; Actinopteri; Osteoglossiformes; Mormyridae
Source: RefSeq, a predicted model, not a curated record
AUUCGCUGCCUUGCGCCUAUGGUUUUCGGGAUAGGCUUCGCCCCCACCCCGACACAAGCAACAUGGAUGGUGAAUGAAUGUUCUUACAGUUUCCUGAUACCCAAACUAUUUCUAUAGGUAAUGAAAUGGCAUGUUGCGUUUCUAGGUGUGCAAAUAACAGAGCAUCUUUACAGCUUUAAGACUACUUUUCUAUAACAUUUAUUGGCAAUUUUGCAUUACGAUUUGAAAUCUGAGAAAUGCAAGGGAUGAUAACUUUUAAUGUAAUGAAAUAAUAUUGCAACAUGGAUGGAUGAAAGAGUAAAUAAAAUUCCCGGAUGGGAAUUCCAGUGUUAACGGGACCUUAACAUUAAUAUUUUGAAAAUAUCUCCCGAGAUCCACAUGUCACGUGCGGACUGCUCGUAGCCAGUAGCCUAAUUUGUGUUAUUUAAUCUGUCACUGGUUUGAAAUGCUUAAUUGUCAUAUGGCUCAUGGGUCAACUUUAUUGUCUUUAUAACUAAUAACUUUAUCAUUUUAAUUAUUCAUCCGUACAAUCGCAGUGUAACACAAUAGAAACAGUGAAUAUAGAUACAUGCCACGAUUGCUAUGAAACUGAUUAUAGAUCUUACUAUGUCACUGACUGUGGCUCUAGAUAAUGAUCGGGUAAACACUCCCCCCCCUCCCCCAUACCUGAGUACUAUGCUGAAGUGUAUCUGCUUGAAGGGAACCGAAGGGGCGUGGCAUCAUGAGCUGACUGUCGGUGCCCUUUUUUGUCCCUUAAAUCGUGCGGUAGCAGCGAUAUUGAUAGAAAGAUUUAAGAGUGAAGCUUGUUGUUGAGCUGUUGCUUGUUUCAUGCAGGUUUACGGGAGAUUCAACAUGUCUGAAGCAGCGACCCCUAAGAUGGACCUAGAUGCAGACUUUGUGUACGACUAUCGGACACUACGUAUUGGAGGCCUGGUCUUUGCUGGGGUCAUUGUAUUCCUGUCAAUCCUCCUGCUUGCUG